This 324-nucleotide ribosomal RNA is filed under the name uncultured eukaryote. Its description in RNAcentral is "partial 18S ribosomal RNA". It matches the Rfam family "Eukaryotic small subunit ribosomal RNA", at positions 1470 to 1796 of the family's 1831-position model. The record is from RNAcentral.
CCCUUAGAUGUUCUGGGCCGCACGCGCGCUACACUGAUGCAUUCAACGAGUUUCUUCCUGGUCCGAGAGGAAUGGGUAACCUUUUGAAAGUGCAUCGUGAUAGGGAUAGACUAUUGCAAUUAUUGGUCUUCAACGAGGAAUUCCUAGUAGACGUAGUUCAUCAGACUGCAUCGAUUACGUCCCUGCCCUUUGUACACACCGCCCGUCGCUCCUACCGAUUGAAUGCUCAGGUGAGCCAUUCGGACUUUCAUCAUGCUGGUUUCCAGUUUUGAUGAAGGAAAGUCUUGCGAACCUUAUCAUUUAGAGGAAGGAGAAGUCGUANCA